RNAcentral lists this ribosomal RNA (449 nucleotides) under uncultured bacterium. Its description in RNAcentral is "partial 16S ribosomal RNA". It matches the Rfam family "Bacterial small subunit ribosomal RNA", at positions 28 to 523 of the family's 1533-position model. The record is from RNAcentral.
GACGAACGCUGGCGGCAUGCCUAACACAUGCGAGUCGAACGAGAUCUUCGGGUCUAGUGGCGCACGGGUGCGUAACGCGUGGGAAUCUGCCCUUUGGUUCGGAAUAACAGUUGGAAACGACUGCUAAUACCGGAUGAUGACGAAAGUCCAAAGAUUUAUCGCCAGAGGAUGAGCCCGCGUAGGAUUAGCUAGUUGGUGUGGUAAAGGCGCACCAAGGCGACGAUCCUUAGCUGGUCUGAGAGGACGAUCAGCCACACUGGGACUGAGACACGGCCCAGACUCCUACGGGAGGCAGCAGUGGGGAAUAUUGGACAAUGGGCGAAAGCCUGAUCCAGCAAUGCCGCGUGAGUGAUGAAGGCCUUAGGGUUGUAAAGCUCUUUUACCCGGGAUGAUAAUGACAGUACCGGGAGAAUAAGCUCCGGCUAACUCCGUGCCAGCCGCCGCGGUAA